RNAcentral lists this ribosomal RNA (393 nucleotides) under uncultured bacterium. RNAcentral describes it as "partial 16S ribosomal RNA". It matches the Rfam family "Bacterial small subunit ribosomal RNA", at positions 523 to 918 of the family's 1533-position model. The record is from RNAcentral.
AUACGGAGGAUGCGAGCGUUAUCCGGAUUUAUUGGGUUUAAAGGGAGCGUAGGUGGGAUAUUAAGUCAGCUGUGAAAGUUUGGGGCUCAACCUUAAAAUUGCAGUUGAUACUGGGUGUCUUGAGUACAGUAGAGGCAGGCGGAAUUCGUGGUGGAGCGGUGAAAUGCUUAGAUAUCACGAAGAACUCCGAUUGCGAAGGCAGCCUGCUGGACUGUAACUGACGCUGAUGCUCGAAAGUGUGGGUAUCAAACAGGAUUAGAUACCCUGGUAGUCCACACAGUAAACGAUGAAUACUCGCUGUUUGCGAUAUACAGUAAGCGGCCAAGCGAAAGCGUUAAGUAUUCCACCUGGGGAGUACGCCGGCAACGGUGAAACUCAAAUGAAUUGGCGGGG